RNAcentral lists this ribosomal RNA (253 nucleotides) under uncultured bacterium. Its description in RNAcentral is "partial 16S ribosomal RNA". It matches the Rfam family "Bacterial small subunit ribosomal RNA", at positions 524 to 776 of the family's 1533-position model. The record is from RNAcentral.
UACGAAGGGGGCUAGCGUUGCUCGGAAUCACUGGGCGUAAAGCGCACGUAGGCGGAUCUUUAAGUCAGGGGUGAAAUCCCAAGGCUCAACCUUGGAACUGCCCUUGAUACUGGGGAUCUCGAGUCCGGAAGAGGUUGGUGGAACUCCGAGUGUAGAGGUGAAAUUCGUAGAUAUUCGCAAGAACACCAGUGGCGAAGGCGGCUCACUGGCCCGGUACUGACGCUGAGGUGCGAAAGCGUGGGGAGCAAACAGG